AAUCAACGCUGGCGGCGCGCUUAACACAUGCAAGUCGCACGAGAAAGUGGAGCAAUCCAUGAGUACAGUGGCGUACGGGUGAGUAACACGUGGGUAAUCUACCUCUUAGUGGGGAAUAACUCUGGGAAACCGGAGCUAAUACCGCAUAAGCCUGGAAAGGGAAAGCAGCAAUGCGCUGAGAGAGGAGCCCGCGGCCGAUUAGCUAGUUGGUAGGGUAAAAGCCUACCAAGGCAAUGAUCGGUAGCCGGCCUGAGAGGGCACACGGCCACACUGGCACUGAAACACGGGCCAGACUCCUACGGGAGGCAGCAGUGGGGAAUCUUGCACAAUGGGGGCAACCCUGAUGCAGCGACGCCGCGUGAGCGAUGAAGCCCUUCGGGGUGUAAAGCUCUUUCGGCAGGAACGAUAAUGACGGUACCU
RNAcentral lists this ribosomal RNA (420 nucleotides) under uncultured bacterium. Its description in RNAcentral is "bacterial SSU rRNA". It matches the Rfam family "Bacterial small subunit ribosomal RNA", at positions 32 to 480 of the family's 1533-position model. The record is from RNAcentral.